Molecule: ribosomal RNA, 117 nt
Filed under: Microcebus murinus (gray mouse lemur)
Lineage: Eukaryota; Metazoa; Chordata; Mammalia; Primates; Cheirogaleidae
Source: RNAcentral
UGGUAUGGCCAUACCACCUUGAAUGUGCCCAAUCUCAUCUGAUCUCAGAAGCUAAGCAGGGUCCAGCCUGGUUAGUACUUGAAUGGGAAACACCAAGAAAGGGAGACUCCAUGAGGA